This 484-nucleotide ribosomal RNA is filed under the name uncultured bacterium. RNAcentral describes it as "partial 16S ribosomal RNA". It matches the Rfam family "Bacterial small subunit ribosomal RNA", at positions 30 to 507 of the family's 1533-position model. The record is from RNAcentral.
AUUGAACGCUGGCGGCAGGCCUAACACAUGCAAGUCGAGCGGAUGAAGGGAGCUUGCUCCUGGAUUCAGCGGCGGACGGGUGAGUAAUGCCUAGGAAUCUGCCUGGUAGUGGGGGAUAACAUCCGGAAACGGGCGCUAAUACCGCAUACGUCCUGAGGGAGAAAGUGGGGGAUCUUCGGACCUCACGCUAUCAGAUGAGCCUAGGUCGGAUUAGCUAGUUGGUGGGGUAAAGGCCUACCAAGGCGACGAUCCGUAACUGGUCUGAGGGGAUGAUCAGUCACACUGGAACUGAGACACGGUCCAGACUCCUACGGGAGGCAGCAGUGGGGAAUAUUGGACAAUGGGCGAAAGCCUGAUCCAGCCAUGCCGCGUGUGUGAAGAAGGUCUUCGGAUUGUAAAGCACUUUAAGUUGGGAGGAAGGGCAGUAAGUUAAUACCUUGCUGUUUUGACGUUACCAACAGAAUAAGCACCGGCUAACUUCGUG